RNAcentral lists this long non-coding RNA (1137 nucleotides) under Gallus gallus (chicken). Lineage: Eukaryota; Metazoa; Chordata; Aves; Galliformes; Phasianidae. The record is from RNAcentral.
GCAGCCCCCUGGUGUCUCCUGUUGGCCAGUCUUUUCUUGUCUGCUGCUGAACAUGGCUUUUUCUGGCGGGAUGUUUGGCACUGCUGAGAGCAGCUCCCCAUCGCUGUUAAAAGUUAACAAGCAUAAGCCAUGGAUUGAAACGACGUAUCAUGGGAUAGUCACAGAAAAUGACAACACAGUUCUCCUGGACCCCCCUUUAAUAGCCCUGGACAAAGAUGCACCUCUGCGUUUUGCAGGUAAAUAAAUUGUCUAGUUUUAUUUCUUAAGAAGUGGGAACACUAUCAUGAUGGCAAACGCUGUGUGUUAUUUAGUGUAUUUUCCCCAGCAGCCACGUCAUGUUUGUAGCUUAUAGAUCCUAGGAAAUACCCAUGCAUGGACCAUGGUUUUAUUUGAUACUUACAGCCAUAUUUACGUACCCAAGUGGAGAAUAGUGUAUAUUGCGGAUACUCUUUCAAUUGCAUGCGUAUUACUUUCUCACUUCCUUUGCAUAGCAUCUGACUUUUUCUUCAGUCCUCCAGAUUCCACAUUUUGCAGCAUUGUUUGGAGUUCCGAAAUGCACAUUUUCUUCUCAUUCUGAACAGUUUUCAGUUUUCUUAGAGUAUUCAAUUUGUGUCUUAAUAAACUGAGAAGACAUUGGUAGAAUUAAGAUUGCACUUCCUUUCUGCAGUAUUUGGGCCAUGAGUUUCUGUGAAAAUUCAGGCUUUCUCUCAUAAGUUUUUGUAGCAGUUUGGAGUGUUUCAGAAAAUGGGAAGCCUCUUCCACUCAAAGAAUCACUGAUAUUUCACAGCUUGGUCAGUGUCAGAGAGCAGAGGUGGCAUAAGAGAAUACUAUUCUCAGCACUCCUUAAUUUCAGAAAUGUGAAGCUUGAGACUUAUUUAAUGAUGUAAUGUAUUUUAUGGCUGAGGUUCCUUUAGCUAUGAGAUAGUGCUAGAAAUAUGACCUCUGUUUAAUUUUCGGAGGAGUUGUGGAGGGAAGCUUGGUUCUUUUGAAGUCUUCCUAAAUGUAAGCAGGUUCCUGCAUCUGGGAAGGGGCUGAAUGUUGUGUAAGUGGGUUUGAGCUCAUCUUGCUGCUGUGCAGAAUAUCUUCUCUGAUAAUGGAGUUUUUCACUGGUACUAGCUUAAUACUGCCUGAGGAGAU